This 479-nucleotide ribosomal RNA is filed under the name uncultured bacterium. RNAcentral describes it as "partial 16S ribosomal RNA". It matches the Rfam family "Bacterial small subunit ribosomal RNA", at positions 28 to 507 of the family's 1533-position model. The record is from RNAcentral.
GAUGAACGCUAGCGGGAGGCCUAACACAUGCAAGCCGAGCGGUAUUUGUUCUUCGGAACAGAGAGAGCGGCGCACGGGUGCGGAACACGUGUGCAACCUGCCUUUAUCUGGGGGAUAGCCUUUCGAAAGGAAGAUUAAUACCCCAUAAUAUAUUGAGUGGCAUCACUUGAUAUUGAAAACUCCGGUGGAUAGAGAUGGGCACGCGCAAGAUUAGAUAGUUGGUGAGGUAACGGCUCACCAAGUCAAUGAUCUUUAGGGGGCCUGAGAGGGUGAUCCCCCACACUGGUACUGAGACACGGACCAGACUCCUACGGGAGGCAGCAGUGGGGAAUAUUGGACAAUGGGUUAGCGCCUGAUCCAGCCAUCCCGCGUGAAGGACGACGGCCCUAUGGGUUGUAAACUUCUUUUGUAUAGGGAUAAACCUACUCUCGUGAGAGUAGCUGAAGGUACUAUACGAAUAAGCACCGGCUAACUCCGUG